AUUUCCAUGCAAUCACUGAAGUUAAGCAACAUUGAAUCUGGUUAGUACCUAGAUGGGUAACCACUUGGGAACAUCAGGUGCUGUAAG
Molecule: non-coding RNA, 87 nt
Organism: Acanthosepion pharaonis
Lineage: Eukaryota; Metazoa; Mollusca; Cephalopoda; Sepiida; Sepiidae
Source: the annotation of a GenBank genome assembly